RNAcentral lists this microRNA (25 nucleotides) under Ascaris suum (pig roundworm). RNAcentral describes it as "asu-miR-67-5p". Its record names the gene asu-miR-67-5p. Lineage: Eukaryota; Metazoa; Nematoda; Chromadorea; Rhabditida; Ascarididae. The record is from miRBase by way of RNAcentral.
AGCUCGCUCGGCUGGUUGUUAGAUG